This 511-nucleotide ribosomal RNA is filed under the name Streptomyces sp. SID9727. Its description in RNAcentral is "partial 23S ribosomal RNA". It matches the Rfam family "Bacterial large subunit ribosomal RNA", at positions 2421 to 2925 of the family's 2925-position model. The record is from RNAcentral. Lineage: Bacteria; Bacillati; Actinomycetota; Actinomycetes; Kitasatosporales; Streptomycetaceae.
CGGCAGUGGCUUGUGGAAGCGCUGUCGCUCAACGGAUAAAAGGUACCCCGGGGAUAACAGGCUGAUCUUCCCCAAGAGUCCAUAUCGACGGGAUGGUUUGGCACCUCGAUGUCGGCUCGUCGCAUCCUGGGGCUGGAGUCGGUCCCAAGGGUUGGGCUGUUCGCCCAUUAAAGCGGUACGCGAGCUGGGUUUAGAACGUCGUGAGACAGUUCGGUCCCUAUCCGCUGUGCGCGUAGGAAUAUUGAGAAGGGCUGUCCCUAGUACGAGAGGACCGGGACGGACGAACCUCUGGUGUGCCAGUUGUUCUGCCAAGGGCAUGGCUGGUUGGCUACGUUCGGAAAGGAUAACCGCUGAAAGCAUCUAAGCGGGAAGCCUGCUUCGAGAUGAGUAUUCCCACCAACUUGAUUGGUUAAGGCUCCCAGUAGACGACUGGGUUGAUAGGCCAGAUGUGGAAGCCCGGUAACGGGUGGAGCUGACUGGUACUAAUAGGCCGAGGGCUUGUCCUCAGUUG